Parelaphostrongylus tenuis is the source of this 71-nucleotide non-coding RNA. The record is from the annotation of a GenBank genome assembly. Lineage: Eukaryota; Metazoa; Nematoda; Chromadorea; Rhabditida; Metastrongylidae.
GCCUCUGUGGUGUAGUGGUAGCACGCACACCCGAUUUGGGUGAAACACGGGUUCAACUCCCGUCUGACGUU